CUUUUAUAGGAUAGAAGUAAUCCGUUGGUCUUAGGAACCAAAAAAUUGGUGCAAC
Molecule: transfer RNA, 55 nt
Filed under: Canis lupus familiaris (dog)
Lineage: Eukaryota; Metazoa; Chordata; Mammalia; Carnivora; Canidae
Description: tRNA-Leu
Source: RNAcentral